This 463-nucleotide ribosomal RNA is filed under the name uncultured bacterium. RNAcentral's name for it is "partial 16S ribosomal RNA". It matches the Rfam family "Bacterial small subunit ribosomal RNA", at positions 28 to 507 of the family's 1533-position model. The record is from RNAcentral.
GAUGAACGCUGACAGAAUGCUUAACACAUGCAAGUCUUUGGCGAAGCUGUGCUUGCACAGCCUAGCCAAGGCGGACGGGUGAGUAACGCGUAAGGAACUUGCCCUGCAGUCAGGGAUAACAGACGGAAACGACUGAUAAGACCUGGUAAAGUCAGGCGGACUCAUGUCCAGCCUGAUGAAAAGAGAUGCUGCAGGAGAGCCUUGCGUCCUAUUAGCUUGUUGGUGGGGUAACGGCCCACCAAGGCGAUGAUAGGUAGCCGGCCUGAGAGGGUGGACGGCCACAAGGGGACUGAGAUACGGCCCUUACUCCUACGGGAGGCAGCAGUGGGGAAUAUUGGACAAUGGGGGCAACCCUGAUCCAGCAAUUCUGUGUGCACGAUGAAGGUUUUCGGAUUGUAAAGUGCUUUCAGCAGGGAUGAAAAAAAUGACGGUACCUGCAGAAGAAGCGACGGCUAAAUACGUG